This is a long non-coding RNA of Equus caballus (horse), 1589 nucleotides long. The record is from Ensembl. Lineage: Eukaryota; Metazoa; Chordata; Mammalia; Perissodactyla; Equidae.
CCCAUGGAAUUGUGAGGAUUAAAGAGCUGGGUUUGACAGUGAUGAUUCUGAAACUUUAGUGUUCAUCAAGACUUACCAGUGAAGCUUCUUAACAAUAUAGAAAGAAGCCUUGGGCCCUAUCCCAGACCUACUGAGGCCAGAGUCUCUAGAGCUGGAGCCCUGAUAUCUGCUUUUCAAACAAGCUGCCUAGAUAAGUAUGAUGCAUACCAAAGCCGAAUGACUCUUAUUCUCAAGAACUGAGAGAAUCCACUUUCCAUUCCAGGACAAGGACCAAAGAAAUAUUCUUAUUGUCUCUCCACUGUUACUCUAGGCAGAAGGGUCUGUCACUGCUUACGAUGUCAGAGGAUAAUCCAUUUCAGUCACUGCUGACCUGCUUUCCUUGAAGUUCCAGAAGAAAAUUUCCAGGAACUUCAGUCCAGGAAAUCAUUUGGACAGUUCCAGUUGAAGAGCCAAAGCAGAAAAUUAACAUUCCAGCUCCCAGAAACUUUACUUUCACAUUUCUUCUGGGCAUUAAUAAUUUGUAAGUCAAAUAGAAUUUUUCUGGUCCUAGUGAUUUUGCACAAUGGCUCAUAACAUGAUAUUCUGGCUCACAUUCAACAUUAUUUUCCUGACAUUUCUAUAGAAGACUGACCAAACUGUUCCCCAAGCAACCCAACAGAGCCCCCAACCUAAACCUAGCCACUGCCCAGGCCAAUCAGCCAUUAAAAGACAAAAAAUAAGAACAUUAUACAACAAAUCAGAAAUAGCAUGGGAUAUAAACCUGGGCGAAGACUUGAGUGUUUGCAGCCAGACCAUGGCUGUUUUCUCUUUGGUCAAGGAGGGAGCGUGCACAACUCUUCAGAAUCCCUCAAAGCCUACCGAUCAAGACAAUGAUUCUUCUCUGAUCAUUCACUCUUUAUGAAAUGUAUCAGACACUGGUGUUUACUUAUUCACAUGAGCCUGAUUACUCAUCUUAUUACCAUACCUCAUCUUCCCAGUUUUAUGUGAGUAAAUAUGGUGGCUAUGGAGGUGACUUACCUUGCCGUUCAACAGGAUCUACUCUGAAAAGCAUAGCUGAUUGACAACUUUAGCUGUUGUCCCUUCGGAUCCACCAGGCAACAUUUUUCUUGGUAUGCUCCCAGCCAAUGACUUAGCACUGUGGGGGUAUUAGAUCCAGUCCAUUUCUGCCCACCACGGGACUCCUCUAAUGGGCAACUUUUACUCAGGGCUGAGACUUUGCCAGGAUCCUCCUGAAAUUUGAGUCUUUUACUACCCAGUAUUCCUUUCCCACUCUCCUUUCACAGAUGUCAGAUCUUCAUUGUGGUCUGAAGACUCUCUCUGAUUAGUCCUUCUCUCUCUCUUUACCCUUCACAGAUAUUUCCCUUCAAUAAAUCUCUUGCAUAUCUAAUCCCAUCUUGGCUUCUUGAAGGAUUCAAACUGACACAGUGCUUGCUGUGUUAAAGAUUUUUGCAAAUUCUUUGCAACUACUCCCAUCAAAAGGUGGAGACCCAGGGAGCCCAGUCUUCAACCAUCUGUACCGGGAUGCCAAGUAAAAACACCUGAGAACCUGCAGACCUGUUCACCUGCAGCUGAGUACCAUUAAGUUAUCU